This 253-nucleotide ribosomal RNA is filed under the name uncultured bacterium. RNAcentral describes it as "partial 16S ribosomal RNA". It matches the Rfam family "Bacterial small subunit ribosomal RNA", at positions 524 to 776 of the family's 1533-position model. The record is from RNAcentral.
UACGAAGGGAGCUAGCGUUGUUCGGAACCACUGGGCGUAAAGCGCACGUAGGCGGAUGUGUCAGUCAGGGGUGAAAUCCCGGAGCUCAACUUCGGAACUGCCUUUGAUACAGCACAUCUGGAGUCCGGAAGAGGUGGGUGGAAUUCCUAGUGUAGAGGUGAAAUUCGUAGAUAUUAGGAAGAACACCGGUGGCGAAGGCGGCCCACUGGUCCGGUACUGACGCUGAGGUGCGAAAGCGUGGGGAGCAAACAGG